This 115-nucleotide transfer RNA is filed under the name archaeon. RNAcentral describes it as "tRNA-Arg". The record is from RNAcentral.
GGGCGGGUCCUAGCCAGGAUAGGGCACGAACGACAUGAAAUGUCGGUGCAAGCCUCCUAACAGGGAAAAGGGAGAGAGCUCGGGGUCACGGGUUCGAAUCCCGUCCCGCCCGCCA